RNAcentral lists this long non-coding RNA (577 nucleotides) under Calidris pugnax (ruff). Its description in RNAcentral is "lncRNA (ENSCPUG00000009663.1)". The record is from RNAcentral. Lineage: Eukaryota; Metazoa; Chordata; Aves; Charadriiformes; Scolopacidae.
GGUAGUUUUGAAGCUGUUUCCAAGAUCAGUUUCAAAUAAAUGCCAGUUCCCAAAUUCACAAGAUUGUGGGUUUUGUUUUUGUUUUUGUUUUUUUCUUUCAUUAUGCUGCAUUUGUCAAGGCGAGGUUUAUUUUCACCCUGGAGUGCAGUCACACUCCCACUUCAAGUCUGCCAGGAUCAGCAGCAAUCCUUAUGGAAGUGACCCAACUGUGCAGACAGCCCCAUAAAGAUGAAAAGAAGCUUCAGGAAUAAAAAAAGAGUCAGAAAAGGAUGCAGUCCCCACCUCACUGGGGUGACCAACUGGUUGCAUAGGACCACAUCAUGUGAAAGGGGAGACCAAAGCCUGGAGUAUUUUCUGCAGCUCUGAUUGCUGGUGUUGAAGAUGCAGUUCAGUGGAUGCAGGUGCAGACGGGAUCACAAGGACAGGCAGAGGGAUGGGGACAUUGCCAUUGAGAAGAAGGGCCUUUUCAUCAAGGAGCACUCUCUAAAGGCGGGGGAAAAAGUCAAGCAGAGAGCAGGUGGUGUAGGAAGCCAGAGUCAACCUGCUGCAGGAGGAGUUGCUGAGCGUGCUGAGCCGU